Molecule: long non-coding RNA, 3972 nt
Organism: Camelus dromedarius (Arabian camel)
Lineage: Eukaryota; Metazoa; Chordata; Mammalia; Artiodactyla; Camelidae
Exons: 7
Source: RefSeq, a predicted model, not a curated record
GUUACUGAGACCCUCGAAUUCCCAUAUGAAUUAUAACAGCAGCUAAUCAGUUUUUGCAGAGGAGCCCGCUGGGAUUGUGAUCGAAACCACGUAGAAUAUACGUAUCACUCUGGGGAGCACUGCCAUUCCAAGAGCACUGUCUUCUGAUCCAGGAAUGUACGUGGCGUGUCUGUCCAGGUGCCCUCACAUCCAGUGGCAUCCAUCCAGACACCAACACUGACACUGGCCAUGCUCAGAACUGCCUCAGCCCUGAAGACACAAGUGACAAAUAGAAGGGGGCCGCGCCCUGUUACAGCAGGUGCUCUCACUUUGUGGGUCCUUAUGUAACUGCGCCGUGUUAAUCAGGAUCGCCCUUUCUACAUUGUGUGGCGCUGCUGCAGUGUCUCCUAGUUAUUUGUUUCUCUGUCCACGUGGGUCAAAUCAUGGUGCCCCUCUAAAACCUCCAAAAAAAAAACAAAGUUGAUUCUCUAUUUUGCAACUUGCCAUCUCUACAUAAGUGCAGAAGAGUUAACAUCGUGAAAGAUCAGAGCCCGGAGAAUAGGCUUUCCUGGAUAUUUCAGGCUAAAGGCAACUUUCUUUUACAAAAGGUACAGAGCUACCAAGUCUGAGCCUAGAAAACAGCAAAGGUUUAAAGCCAAAGGAACAGAUCUAACAUGCAGUCAAAUUUAUUCUCUUCUAUUACAAUUUCUUUUUCCACCUCAUAAAUAAUUUUAGUAAGAAACAUGAGCAAUUUUUUUACUUUUGCUUCUUAGUAACGGAUAAGUGGGCCAAAUACAUUUAUGAGAGCAGGGAUGCUGUGCAGGCAUUGGGGUCACAGCAAACUCUUGUUGGGGGUGGUCGACUCUGCAACAUGUCUGAUGCCCCGUGGGUGUUGGUGAGGGACCCCAUAACCAGGGGCUCUCUUCAGGAACCAGCAUAUGGGCAUUGACCUCUGGAGACCUCUUUUUCAGCUGCCGGAAAUUUUUUCAGAUACUGUGACUGAAAAACCACUUCAGCUUGUGAUAAUUAGGGAAUAAAGGAAGAGGAAAAGGGCUUGGAUUAGAUUAGAAGAGAAGGACAGAAUAUCAGGGAACCUGGGGGCUUGGCAGUGGGUCCUUGGGAGAGAGGGGAGCAGAGGUGGGGAGGGGCACGGCUCUGGAACCAGCUCCUGCACCUGUCCCAGGGCCCAAGUCACACAGCUUUUAAUUGGCCCAGGACGCUCUCCUGUCUGGAUGUCACCCUGGGCAGAACAUUGAGAAUCGAAGGUAAGGGGUGGGCAGCACUCACCUAGGGGAUCACUGAGGACUUCGUUCAAGUCCACGGUGCCUUUUCUGGUCAUGUGUCUUCACUUGCCCUUUAUCUUAGGAUCUGAGGAGCAGGAGCAAAGAACGCAGGGAGAGAUCCAGGAAGACAUCUGACUGUGUUAAGAGAUGACAGUCACAGCCACACGGGGAGCGAGGACACUUGCAGCAAAAUAAAACGACUUCACAACUAUUGCAUCAGAGCUGCCGGUGUGAGAGAGCCUAAGCCUGUCUCAGAGUGCAGGGGACAAGCGGAAAGGAAUGUGUAAGAAUGCUGGUGACUGAGUUAGAAGCAUGCUUCAAAGCUGUCCGUCUCCUUGCCAUCCAGAAGCGGAGCCUGGGAUCUUCCGAAUUUCUCCAGAAUGCGGUUUACAUUCAUCUUCGACAGGCUCCUCCGCUCAGAUGUAAGAAUAUCCUCUUUCAACUUCUUGAUGCAGCUCCUUAAUGAAGAUCUCGUGAAGAAAACUUAGUCAAAACCUGGGAGAAUUCCUAGGAGAGAAUUCAGCAGUGCAGCAUCCUCUCCGAGCUCUAUGAUUUGAUCGGCUUCCACCGCAAGUCCGCCUUCUUCAAGCGGGUGGCCCCCGUGCAGCGCGCGGCCCCCGGCAUCCCGGAGCCUGGCGGGAAGGCCUGCUACCGACUCCUUCUGCAGACGCUUCCUGGCUACAGUCUGUCGCUGGAUCUGCAGGACUUCAGCAAAGUUUAUGAAGGUUUUCCAUGAGAUAUAUUGCUCAGCCUUUUCCUGAAUGAAGGAUUGAAUUUUCCACAGGAAAUCUUAUGAAAGAGAGUGACAAGGCACAUGGGUUUCCCAAAAAGGAAUACUUGAUGUAAUAAACUCUCACUAUGGUGAACUUUUUGAAUACAAGCGAGUUGAAAAUUUUAUCACUAGGUCAUAGGCCACAAAUCUGUCUUAAGAAUAAAAAGAUUCAAAUUUUAUAGAAGAAGAAGUUUGAAUCAAGUAGAAAUUAUGAUUUGUACACUAGUUGGUGUUAGAAAUUAUACUCAGUCUUCUCAUAAUUUCCUGUGGUAGGAACUGGAUUAUUAUUUAUUUAUUAAAAAAAAAUCCACUAGGUGCUAUUUGCCCCAUUCUUGAUGCAGCAGUGCUGAGGUUAGUUAAGUUGGGCCAUUUAGGAUUUUUAGCUAGGUUUUCUGGACAUUGAUUUCAGCCUCUUUAUCUUUUUUACAAUCUCUUCUUUUGUAUCGGCCUUUGGUGUUUUGACAACGUGGAAAUACUGCACGGAUCUGCCUUUCCCUUUUUUCUUGUCUUUGUGGGAAAAGAUUUCUGAAAGACAAACUACUAGGAUAUUAAGGAUUUUGUGUGGGGUAAGUUUGUUCAGUUCUAAGGUUUUCAAUUAAUACGUAUUAAUACUUGCUAUUCAGCUAAUGACAGUAAAAUUAUAAACUAACUUAAGUAUACAUCAGUAAGUAUAGUACAAUCAGCCCAUCAACCAGAUUAAGGAAUUCACAAACUUUUCCAUACUUCCUUUAUUCAGACCUUAGUUCUUUUAUUUGUCCUUUGUUGAAGUAUUUGACAGCAAAUCCAAGAAGACAUGUCAUUUUACCCUAUGUGCUCAAGUAGGCAUGUCUGAAAAAUGAGGGCCUUUUUUUGAUCAGGUUUUUCCAUUUGACCCAUGUGCUCAUUAAGUACCAGCUUUAUCAGGCAUCUCACUAGGCAUUAGGGAUCCUUGGGGCAAUGAGACAGUCCUGGCUCCCAAGGAAGUUAAGGGCUGAUGGAAGAAACCAACACAGGAGCUUGGGUGCCUCACUUAAGGUCCCUACUGGAUGACACCAAUUGGACAAAAUUUGUGCACAAUACAGUAGGAUUCACAAAAGGGACUGGUCAGAUUUGUAGGGCAGGCCGUGAGAGAGGCGGUCAGCAGGGCUACAAGAGGAGGACUCAUUUGAUCAGAAUCUGAAAUCCUUUCUGCCAACCUUUCUACCAAGCCCCCAGGGCCCAUCACAAACAACCCUGUGCUGUAACUGUUUUUGAUUCCAGUUACCACAUCUCCUUCAGGAAGGAUUUUAAGGUGGAAAAUAUUUAAAAUCCGUAAUUGUUGCCAGAAGGGACAUAGAAAAAGGAACAUGUAAACAACACAAAUGUCCAUCAGCACAUGACUGGAUAAACACGAGGUGAUACAUAUAUACAAUGGAAUACUACUCCGCCAUAAAAGAUGCCAUUUGCAGCAACAUGGAUGGACCUGAAGACUGUCAUUCUAAGUGAAGUGGGGUGGAAAGAGAAAGAAAAAUGCCAUAUGACUUCAUUUAUGUGGAAUCUAAAAUUAAUAGCAAUAAUAAUAAGACCACAAAUGAACUAAAUAUUGUUUUGAUUUCUUGAAUAUAUGCAAGCACAUCUGACUGUCCUUUGUGAUUGGAUUACCAUAUUCUGUUUAUUCUUUUGUAGAUGUCCUUAUUCCUCUGGUAACUAAUUUUAAAAAUCUAAAGCUCUAAUCUGUUCUUAGAAACAAUAAUUAGUACAUAUAUGUAAACUAAAAAAUGCAGUAUGCUCUAUACAUGUAUUUACAUGCAAUAUGUGUAUGUGACGUUGAACUGUAAAAAUUCUACCUGAUAAAACUGAAAAAGGAAAAAAAUAAAAAAUUUAUUUUAAAAAAUCACCCCUCUUUAGAUAUUAAAACGUUCAUUUCUGAGAUUCUGUGAAAGACGGCAUGGAAGUAGGUUUUUAAGAUUUUUCUCCUUG